CUCGGAUGUCAUUUCGGGGGAACCCAUCACUGCGUUUUUAGUGAGCUCUGGAACUUCAAGUGGGAAUCAAAAGAUAUUUCCUGCGAACAACAUCUUCUUUAAGAAUAUUCAAAUCUUCUAUACGCUAGGCUAUCUCGUUAUGUCCAAGCAUUUCAAUGGUUAUAAGCAAGGAAAGGUGAUUAGGUUUACGUUCAUUCAUCCGACAUCCACAACUCCUUGUGGUUUGCCUCUUGCUCCUACGGUAACUAGCUUCACAAAGAGUGAAUUUUUUAGGAGCCUGCCAAAAAAUAGUCCAAGCCCCUACCAGAUCAUACUGUGUCCGGACGCCAAACAGAGUAUGUACUGUCAACUUCUCUGUGGUCUUGUCCAGAGAGAUGAGGUUGUAAGUGUUGGUGCUGUGUUCGCUUCUGUUUUGGUUCAAGUUAUCCAUUUUCUUGAAAAUUACUGGAAAGAGUUGGCUAGUAAUAUCAGAUGUGGUCAUGUCAGCGAGUGGAUCACCGACCUUAGCUGUAGAGAGACCGUCACUACCAUCCUUGUUGAGCCAAAUCCUCAACUGGCAGAUCUUAUCGAAAACGUGUGCCGACAAGAAUCUUGGCAAGGUAUAGUUUCACGACUUUGGCCUAAAGCCUAAUGCAUUGAUGCUAUUUUUACAGGAAGCAUGGCUCAAUACAUCCCAGCAUUGGAGUUCUACACUAAUAAACUGCCUCUAGUCUCUAAAUCUUAUGCAUCUUCUGAAGCAUUUUUCGGGUUAAAUUUGGAACCUCUAAGCAAACAUGUGUCCUACACAUUUCUACCCAACAUGUCAUACUUCGAGUUCAUAGAUGUCGAUGGAGGAACCGAGGGCGAGAUUGUUGAUCUUGUGAAUGUGAAGUUGGGUCACCACUAUGAGCCCUUGGUCACAAACUUUUCAGGUUUACACAGAUGUAGAGUGGGGGAUGUUUUAAAGGUCACUGGUUUUUACAAUAUGGCACCUCUGUUCAGAUUUGUACGUAGAAAAAAUGCGGCUUUAAGCGUUCACCUAGAGUCAACGACUGAAGAAGAUCUUUUAAAAGCCUUGGCUCGGGCGACACUAGUUCUUGAAUCUUCGGAUUUAGUGAUCAUGGGUUUCACAUGCUAUGCCGAUAUCUCCACUGUUCCGGGUCACUAUGUUUUUUACCUGGAACUCAAAUCAAAAGUCAACAAUAAUAAUAGCACUAAUGUUCUAUCACUUGAUAACAAGGUAUUGGUGGAAUGUUGUUGUGUCAUGGAGGAAUCAUUGAAUAGUUUUUAUAGGCUCUUCAGGAGCAAAAAUGGUUCGAUUGGAGCUCCAGAGAUAAGAGUGGUGCAAGAGGGAACGUUUGGUUCUCUCAUGGAGUUUUUUGUCUCCCGAGGUGCUUCUAUAACUCAAUACAAGACACCUAUAUGCAUAAACUCUGCUGAGGCUUUAAAGGUUCUUGAAGACAAGGUUCUUGCUCGGUUCUUCAGUGACAAAUCCCCUCCUUAUCUGAUCCUGGCGUGAUGAUGACCACCACCAAAAAAAACUACAUCACCCUAAUAAUGAAGCAAUAAAUUUGUCUGGUGAGUGGUAUGAGUGUUUUAUAAUUCCUUGUUGUUUAUGUCUUGUGUGCUUUUUCUCUUUUGUCGUCAUGUUUACUGUUGUGGGUGUUUCAGUUAAAUGUGAUUGAUGCAUUCUUAUGUUUUUUGAAAAAAACUGUGAUGAAAACCAUAACUAGAUAGCAUUGAUCAAUGAAAAUGUCUUGGGAUAAA
This is an RNA transcript of Brassica oleracea var. oleracea, 1746 nucleotides long. It is a transcript of the gene named 4-substituted benzoates-glutamate ligase GH3.12-like, with no coding region annotated. Lineage: Eukaryota; Viridiplantae; Streptophyta; Magnoliopsida; Brassicales; Brassicaceae. The record is from RefSeq and is a predicted model, not a curated record.